CAUCAAGCUUCAGAAGCUACAAAAAAGUUUGACGAGUUCGGGAAGCUCUGCGCAGAAGUACCCAAAGUGCAACAGAGGAGGGAGCAAAGUUUUUUCUGAGAAUGUGCAUUUAAGAUCAGAUUCCCAUCUGAAAACUGUAAUAAAGGACAAAGAAGUAGUCAACAAGUUUUCCGGACAGGCCGCACCAGGUAAACUAAGCCAAAGUAAGGCAAGCUUGCGAUCAUCUGAAAAGGCAUCUCAAGAAGAAGGCAAUAAAGAAACUUCUAAGCCUUCUGAUGUGAAAAAUACAAUGAAAGAUGCGUUGGCAGCUAGAAAACGGCAGCGUGAUGACAUCGAAGCAUUGCUGCCUUCAGCUCUAAUUUCUUCAAAAAAAACUGGUGUGACAUCAAAACCUGCUCCUGUCAAAAAACCAUCUUUGCGCAACAACUGAAAGUGCCAAUUAUAUGACAUCCAAGGCUGUGAAUCUCAAAAAACCCCUCCACAUCCUUCUGAGUUCAUCAUUUUCCUUCAACUAUCGCAUUUUGGACGGUAGCCACAUGCGUUUGAGCUCAUGUGCUAAUCGGUUGGUAGGAAUUUAGUUUCCAUCCACAUCGGAAGGUAUCCGACUCAUCCGACUCGUCCGCCUCUCGCCGUACUGUUGAUGCUCAUUCUCUUAUUGAUUAUGCUAUAAACUUUCAGAUAUUGAGUGGAGAGAUUUAGAGUGAGGAAGUGGAGCAUCCACAGCUCUCCAUCACUGCUCUCUGAGCUCCAUGUAAAACCCAAUUUCUAGCGAAGAACAAAAGAAAGCAAUUCUUACAUGCAUUUGAAUCCGCUGUCAAUCCUCAGCAGAAGUGAAGCUCACAAAUACGUUAUCCAAGUCUCCUCUUAUAUCCCAUCAGUUUUGCUACAUGCCACUCUAGAUCUAUCUUGUAUAAAGAUAUAUAAACAUAAUUCAUUUUAUACUAGUUUUUCAUUUAUAUGAUUAUUAAUCAAUCACCAAUGAUAAGUUUUGGUUUAUCUAUAUAAAUUUCCCCUUUUUUGGUCAUUUUUUUCUUACA
Molecule: long non-coding RNA, 1037 nt
Organism: Phalaenopsis equestris
Lineage: Eukaryota; Viridiplantae; Streptophyta; Magnoliopsida; Asparagales; Orchidaceae
Exons: 3
Source: RefSeq, a predicted model, not a curated record